RNAcentral lists this ribosomal RNA (1079 nucleotides) under uncultured bacterium. RNAcentral describes it as "bacterial SSU rRNA". It matches the Rfam family "Bacterial small subunit ribosomal RNA", at positions 8 to 916 of the family's 1533-position model. The record is from RNAcentral.
AGAGUUUGAUCAUGGCUCAGGACGAACGCUGGCGGCGCGCCUAACACAUGCAAGUCGAACGGGAUCCGCGUGCUCGGCACUGAGCGCGAAGAGUCGGUGAAACAAGUAGCCGACAGCGUUAUGCGAGAGGAAGGUAUUACGCUGCGACCUAAGUUGAUAGUAGAAGGAUAAUUUGGGAGCAGGGGCAUGUAAGAACCGAAACUCGAGCAUCACGCUUUUCCAAGUGAAUAGCACAUGCAAAAACUUGGGCGCUGAGUGUUGAGCACGCGGUGAGAGUGGCGGACGGGCGAGUAACGCGUGAGCAACCAACCUUGCACUGGGGGAUAACGUCGGGAAACCGGCGCUAAUACCGCAUGACAUUACUGGAUCGCAUGGUCUUGUAAUCAAAGCUCCGGCGGUGCGAGACGGGCUCGCGUCCAAUUAGCUGGUUGGCGGGGUAAAGGCCCACCAAGGCGACGAUUGGUAGCCGAACUGAGAGGUUGAUCGGCCGCAUUGGGACUGAGACACGGCCCAGACUCCUACGGGAGGCAGCAGUGGGGAAUCUUGCGCAAUGGGGGAAACCCUGACGCAGCGACGCCGCGUGAAGGAAGAAGGCCUUCGGGUUGUAAACUUCUUUGAUCGGGGACGAAGCAGACGGUACCCGAGGAACAAGCCACGGCUAACUACGUGCCAGCAGCCGCGGUAAUACGUAGGUGGCGAGCGUUGUCCGGAAUUACUGGGCGUAAAGGGCGUGUAGGCGGGGGUAGAAGUCAGGUGUGAAAUACCGCGGCUCAACUGCGGGGAUGCAUCUGAAACUCUGCUUCUUGAGUGUCGGAGAGGAAAGCGGAAUUCCCAGUGUAGCGGUGAAAUGCGCAGAGAUUGGGAGGAACACCAGUGGCGAAGGCGGCUUUCUGGACGACAACUGACGCUGAGGCGCGAAAGCGUGGGGAGCAAACAGGAUUAGAUACCCUGGUAGUCCACGCUGUAAACGAUGGAUACUAGGUGUAGGAGGUAUCGACCCCUUCUGUGCCGGAGUUAACACAAUAAGUAUCCCGCCUGGGGAGUACGGCCGCAAGGCUGAAACUUAAAUGAAUUGACGG